This 494-nucleotide ribosomal RNA is filed under the name uncultured bacterium. RNAcentral describes it as "bacterial SSU rRNA". It matches the Rfam family "Bacterial small subunit ribosomal RNA", at positions 29 to 518 of the family's 1533-position model. The record is from RNAcentral.
AUGAACGCUAGCGACAGGCCUAACACAUGCAAGUCAGGGGCAGCACAAGGAGCAAUCUGAGGUGGCGACCGGCGCACGGGUGAGUAACACGUAUGCAACCUGCCUGUAAGCGGGGAAUAACCCGUUGAAAGAACGGACUAAUACCGCAUAAUACUAAAUUACUGCAUGGUAAUUUAUUUAAACAUUUAUGGCUUACAGAUGGGCAUGCGCAUGAUUAGCUAGUUGGAGAGGUAACGGCUCCCCAAGGCAACGAUCAUUAGGGGUUCUGAGAGGAAGGUCCCCCACACUGGUACUGAGACACGGACCAGACUCCUACGGGAGGCAGCAGUGAGGAAUAUUGGUCAAUGGACGAGAGUCUGAACCAGCCAAGUCGCGUGCAGGAAGAUGUCCUAAUGGAUUGUAAACUGCUUUUGCAGGGGAAUAAAGUGCAUCACGUGUGAUGUUUUGUAUGUACUCUGCGAAUAAGGAUCGGCUAACUCCGUGCCAGCCGCAGC